AGAAAACAUUUGAGAGAGAAUCAAGAAACGUACGGAAACAAGUAUCAAGAUAGGAUUCCUGAAUGAAAGGACCGAGACAGAUGGGACAUGGAUUCGAGUCCCCUGAAGGAGAAGAAGAAGAUUGAUUCUCGACGGUUUUAGAAAAGUGAAUAUGAAUGGCGCUUUUUUGUCAGUAUGGAGCUGCUACUUAUUGGCUAGGUAGAGUGGCGGUUCGGCUUUACUUUCAAUUUAGAUUUAUUUUAUUUUUUUACAUUUUUGCUUGAACUUUGUUUUCUAUAUAACUCAAGUGAAUUCUCUAUUAAACAAAAAAAAAGAGUAUGCAACUCUCAUUAUUAUUGUUCCCUACUAGAGGUUACUAGUUUGGACUAUAGGCGGAUAAAGACGACAACAAUGCCACAAGAGUGCGAAUAGAUAGAGAGAUCAUUGAUACAAAAGAAGAAAAAAAAUGCACUCUUUCACUGUUUGACUGCUUAGAUGUCCUGAAUCAGCUUACAAGUUAAACUAUAAUUGGAAAUUGUAUGACAAAGGAUCAAGGCAAGUAAAACAUGGACUGCCUAUUAAUCGUCAUCAAUCACAUAGCAUCGACCUUGUAACAUCUGUUGCUCUUGAGCCAAGAAAGUUUGCUUCUUUCAUCUCUCAAAAUCUGAUGUCUUGCAACCCAAAUCUUGGUGCCUGUAAAACUGAGAAGUCUAUAUUGUUAACAAUUCUAUUGCCGGACCAGUUUAAGCCUAUCUCUUGAUCAUAACUAAGGCCUCUCUUCUUGACAAUGUGUCUAAAAGGUUGAAGAGAAUAAGCAAAAUUUUCUGCUAUCAUCUCCUUUGAUUCAUAUGAAGACUUGGGUGCAGUUAUAAUACCAGAAGUUGCAGAUUUUUGCUGUUUCUGGCCUAUAUCAGGCUGCCAAGUUUCCAAAGCUUUAUGACUAGCUGCAGAUAUAUUCUGCAAAAUGAUAUCCUCAAAUUCCCUUGAAGGAGAAAUCUUUAAGCUGUCCCAUCGCAUACUGUCUGGUGUGAGCUUUACCCUGUAUGGCCAAGGGCUUUUAGUAUCACCUCCACUGCUGCAUAUUUCCUUUCCCUUGUUGCAGUUGCUGUCUUCUGAAUUUUGAUCAUUAAGUUCGAUCUUCAUGUUAGAGAUGAGUUUGAAGUGAAACAAUUUACGGAGAGCUAUGAAAGGAAAAGAAAAGAAAAACCUAAUCUUUGAUUUAUAUUCCCUUUUGCCAUUUGCUUGCACAAAGUGCUUUACAUCCAGUAUAUCUUUUUUUCUUUUUUUUUCUUUUCAGGUUGAUCUUAUCUAUCAUAUUCUUUCUUGUCUUUCUGUUGUUACCAUAUGAGCUGAUUUCCAUUGCCAAAUCAUAAAUCAAGACAGCUAUAGAAUUUGUUUUAGUAAGAUGAAGCAGCAGAUCAUAAUGAGUUGUUACUUGGAUAGAAAACAAAUCCACCGAGCUCCAUGACAGAAGGUCUUGAAGAAGAAAAUCUGAAUCAGCAUCUACUCAUUAUCUUUUUAGACUUAUCAAGAUGAAGUGCCAGGAAAUUCUUAGCUAAAACUUCUUCUUAUGUACAUUGUAAUUGGAGAAGUUAGGUUUUCUGGCAUAUUUAACAACAUGCAUUGAUGUUAAAUGGAAGCAUGAGAUUAAUUUCUUUUAGGCCAAUGAAUAAUGAGUUAAUUUACUUCUAACUUCACUUUGAACUGAUUAUGUGAUGCAUUUUUGCGUUUAGUAUGGGAAAAGAAUUUUGGCAGAAAGUUUUCCUGAUAUACAGAACUUGCUUCUCUGUAAUACUAUUCCUUUUGUUUUCCCCAGAAAGAAUUGUUCUGGUCUCUGUCAGUUUGUGUGCCCUCAACACAUGUAUCUUGCUUAAUGUGUCCCUUUUAGACAGCUAAACAUUGUGAUUUUGAAGUGUUAUCUUUUUGUUUGAUUUCAAAAAGAACCUGAUUUUUCUAGUCAUCCUUCCUUUGAUCAUAUUUUCGAUAUUAUUCCUGCAAAUUAAAAUUUUUUGCAAGUAUUUAGCUUUAAUUAAGUAGAACUAGGAAACU
Ricinus communis (castor bean) is the source of this 2028-nucleotide long non-coding RNA. RefSeq lists it as uncharacterized. The record is from RefSeq and is a predicted model, not a curated record. NCBI's taxonomy places the organism in Eukaryota, Viridiplantae, Streptophyta, Magnoliopsida, Malpighiales, Euphorbiaceae. The transcript has 3 exons.